UGUUUAUGAAUGUUCCAGAACAUUUUCAGAAUGUUCAUAAAUUUUCUGAACAUUCAUGAACAUUCUGAAAAUGUUCUGGAUCAUUUAUGA
RNAcentral lists this microRNA precursor (90 nucleotides) under Strigamia maritima. Its description in RNAcentral is "microRNA mir-186". The record is from RNAcentral. Lineage: Eukaryota; Metazoa; Arthropoda; Chilopoda; Geophilomorpha; Linotaeniidae.